GUUUUCAAUAAUUUAGGUAAUACUAGUUCACGAAGGGCAUUGAGCUAAUUGUGUUAUUGUAAUAGCUUUUAAAUUGUAUGUAGCAAUAUACAAGGAUUAAGAACAAUUAGGGGUGAUAGGCCUAUCAACGCGCCAGAUAACUUGAUCUACAGUAAAACUAUUAAGUAUUCAAACAGUUUAGAAAUGGUUAGGUUUCUAAAUAACAUUAAAAAUAGUUGCUAACGUGUGGUCUGUGUAACUACUACUAUAUUUGCUAAGCGGAAAUUAUAUAUCUAAUGGUUAUGAAAAUAACUGUAGGCAUUUUCUAACUUUAAUGUUAAUUAUUUAAUGAAAAUAUUAGUAUUAAUAAAAUAUUUUAUGAAGGAACUCGGCAAAAGUUUUGCUCAACUGUUUAACAAAAACAUAGCUAGAUGGCAUUACGUUUAGUUUUUUCUGCUCAAUGGAUUAUCUAAAUAGCCGCAGUA
RNAcentral lists this ribosomal RNA (464 nucleotides) under Serratorotula juliformis. Its description in RNAcentral is "partial large subunit ribosomal RNA". The record is from RNAcentral. Lineage: Eukaryota; Metazoa; Mollusca; Gastropoda; Stylommatophora; Geomitridae.